This 286-nucleotide long non-coding RNA is filed under the name Mytilus galloprovincialis (Mediterranean mussel). Lineage: Eukaryota; Metazoa; Mollusca; Bivalvia; Mytilida; Mytilidae. The record is from RNAcentral.
CGAUGAUGACAUCAACAAGCAUUAUUUUAGCUGCUCCACACUGUUACGGAUGUGUUUUGCAUUCACAUCAAUAUUUAUUCCCGCUCUUAUAUUGGUGUUCCUGUUAAUUACUAUCACUAAUAAACUCAUCAUAGAUACCAGGGUUGAAACCUUGUUUUUGCACCAGAUGCGCGUUUUGAUCACAAGAGACUUACCAGCGACAUCUGAUUAAAAAAAAGACUACCAACAAGCGCUUGACGUUGUCCAUAAUAAUAGUUUUAUUAAAUCAGUGUGUUUUCUUUCAUUU